GCGAAAGCGUGGGGAGCAAACAGGAUUAGAUACCCUGGUAGUCCACGCCGUAAACGAUGAGUGCUAAGUGUUAGAGGGUUUCCGCCCUUUAGUGCUGAAGUUUAACGCAUUAAGCACUCCGCCUGGGGAGUACGGCCGCAAGGCUGAAACUCAAAGGAAUUGACGGGGGCCCGCACAAGCGGUGGAGCAUGUGGUUUAAUUUCGAAGCAACGCGAAGAACCUUACCAGGUCUUGACAUCCUCUGAAAACCCUAGAGAUAGGGCUUCUCCUUCGGGAGCAGAGUGACAGGUGGUGCAUGGUUGUCGUCAGCUCGUGUCGUGAGAUGUUGGGUUAAGUCCCGCAACGAGCGCAACCCUUGAUCUUAGUUGCCAUCAUUAAGUUGGGCACUCUAAGGUGACUGCCGGUGACAAACCGGAGGAAGGUGGGGAUGACGUCAAAUCAUCAUGCCCCUUAUGACCUGGGCUACACACGUGCUAUCAUGGACGGUACAAAGAGCUGCAAGACCGCGAGGUGGAGCUAAUCUCAUAAAACCGUUCUCAGUUCGGAUUGUAGGCUGCAACUCGCCUACAUGAAGCUGGAAUCGCUAGUAAU
Molecule: ribosomal RNA, 591 nt
Filed under: Bacillus cereus
Lineage: Bacteria; Bacillati; Bacillota; Bacilli; Caryophanales; Bacillaceae
Description: bacterial SSU rRNA
Rfam family: Bacterial small subunit ribosomal RNA
Source: RNAcentral